GGGGAAUAUUGGACAAUGGGGGCAACCCUGAUCCAGCAAUGCCGCGUGAGUGAAGAAGGCCUUAGGGUUGUAAAGCUCUUUCGCCCGUGACGAUGAUGACGGUAACGGGAGAAGAAGCCCCGGCUAAUUCCGUGCCAGCAGCCGCGGUAAUACGGAAGGGGCUAGCGUUGUUCGGAUUUACUGGGCGUAAAGCGCAUGUAGGCGGCGGAUCAAGUGGGGCGUGAAAGGCCUGGGCUCAACCUGGGAACUGCGCUUCAGACUGGUUCGCUCGAGUUCGGGAGAGGGUGGUGGAAUUCCCAGUGUAGAGGUGAAAUUCGUAGAUAUUGGGAGGAACACCGGUGGCGAAGGCGGCCACCUGGCCCGAGACUGACGCUCAAGUGCGAAAGCGUGGGGAGCAAAC
Molecule: ribosomal RNA, 400 nt
Filed under: uncultured bacterium
Lineage: Bacteria
Description: bacterial SSU rRNA
Rfam family: Bacterial small subunit ribosomal RNA
Source: RNAcentral